GGGGCAGCGGCUUCAGGAGGGAAGCCCAGACGGCCCUCACCCCAGACACUUCCACCAGCUCCUCCUUUGGGGGGAUUCCCAGGCGCUCCCAGGCCAGGCGAGAGAUAUAAUCCCUCCACCUGGUCCUGGGCCGACCACGAGGUCUCCUCCCGGUGGGACAUGUCUGGAACACCUCUAAUGGGAGGCAUCCAGAAGGCGUCCUAACACCUCAGCUGUCUCCUCUGGACGUGGAGGAGCAGCGGUUCUCCUCUGAGCUCCUUACCCUAUCUCUAAGGCUGAGCCCGGACACCCUGAGGAGGAAACCCAUUUCAGCCGCUUGUAUCUGCGAUCUUGUUCUUUCGGUCAUUACCCAAAGUUCAUGACCAUAGGUGAGGAUCGGCACGUAGAUCGACCGGUAAAUCCAGAGUCUCUCCUUACGGCUCAGCUCUUUCUUCACCACCACUGAUCGGUUCAGCGUCCGCAUCACUGCUGACGCCGCUCCGAUCCGCCUGUCGAUCUCCUGACAGAUGCCAUGAGUUUGUAAAUGCUGGUACUUCAGCUGAACCAGUUUUUGUUGCAGGAUCAUGGAGACCAGAUCAGGACUAAAGUUCCCCAAACCUCAGAGUCCGACGAGGACAGUUUUAUCGCUCAAUCCUGGACUUUGACCUUCAUCUGGAACCUUUUUCUUGUUCCCUUUUCUCAGACUCUCUGUCCGUCACUGAAUGAAAUCAUGAACUCUUCAAACUUUCAGACUUUAUGAGUUUUGUGUUUCUCAGACUUCAGAGUCAGAGCUGGUCUCAGGUUCACGUCGGGUUCACUGGUUUCUAAAUCUGGAGAAAGAAGAAAAAAAGAUUUUAAAUGUCCUAAAGUCGUCCUCUCCUCGCUCCGAUUGGUCGGACCGUCAGUCUCUGUAUCUGAUGUAACUCACAGUAAGCUCCGGCUGUACGCCUGCAGGCCGCCAUCAUGGCGGGGAUCAAACACAGAGUCAGACUCGGAGCGAGGAGGAGCAGGAGUCAAGGUGAUCUGGCUCCGCAUGAACGGAUGCAAACUGAAUCUCAAAGUUUGAUUCAGAGUUUGUGAGAGAAAAGUUUAUAAAGAGCUGAAGGAAGAUCGGAUUUAUACCGGAGAGGGAUCAAGAAACCCUGAGAACAACAAACGAGGUUUACAGAGGGACCCCAGAAAACUCGACCAAAGGUGAAGCAAACAUGAGGAGAGGGAGAGAACGAGGAAAUGUAAAUGUUUGCUGAGAAAAAGGUCAGGACUGAACCCAGAAUCAUGAUCCGGUUUUAAAGAUACGGGUCUGACACAAAGACCUUUUUCAGACGGAUCAGGAGGUCCGACCGUCUGAGUCUGUUUUCACAUCUAGGACUGAUUUUCUUUGAUCCACUUCAGGUGUUUUUCAGGUCACGAACAUCUUCAAACAGCCUGAGUGUCAGCUUGUCAAUCACAGGAAGUCCCGCCUUAAAUCUUGUUAUGCAGACGACACUUUGCUGUACUUUAAAGGUGGAGUAGACAGGAAACCGUUAAAGAAGCAUCUUUUUAUUUUGUGGUUUUAAUACAAAAACUCUUCUAAUAUCAGUCAAUAGUUAUUAGUUAUUGUUAUUGAUGACAUUUGGUAAUAUAUCGAUACCUCCUCUAACCUGAUUGGUUGAGGCAGACUCUCCCCGUGUCGUUCAGGAGCCCAAACAAAGUUAGCGUGCUACAAUAUCGGACAGUAGAAACCAACCAGAAAGUUCGGAAAAUUGUCGGAAUCCUCCUUUGGCCACGACUGCCGACACAAGCAAGAAAACAAAGUAAAUACCGGAGACUCUGGAGGAAUAACGGGCGCUUAAAACGGAGGUAGACCGGACAAGAGCUAAAAAGCCGGGUCAACAUAAACGAUGGGGGACGCUUGGGGAUCUUGGUGACCCUGUAACCUUUCUGCUGGACAGGUAAACCGCUUUAACAAAGUAAGACAAGUGUCUGUAACAGAAGUGUUUCUUGUCAAACGGACCUGCUGUAGCGUGUUGUAGCGCCAUCGCUAAACUGUCCUCCCUCGGGUCCUGGACUAUGUCACUUUAUCCUCGUUGUAGAAGUCCUGCAAACAUUGUGUUUGCUGGUAGUCUGUUGGCAUCUACAGUAGCACCAAUGCUUUUGACUUUCACCUUGACUGGGCCCCAUUUGUAAUGAUCUGAAGUAUUUAUCUGCAUUAUAUCUGAAUUUAACUGGAACGAUACGAGCGAGCAGGAGCGUCUGUUUGUGGGCGGGGCUUAAGAGAGGGAGGGGAGGAGCUGAGGGGAAAACUGGUUGGAGGGGUCGAGUUUACAGUCAAGAUUUCUCCUAAAAACUGGAACUAACUCAGAUCCUGACUACAACACCUUUAAAGCGGAUAAACCUCUCCACCUUCAGAGACCCCCUCAUGUCCCUCCGUCUCGGUCCAGAUCAGACUGAGGUCCUGAAAGUCCACCCUGACUGUGUCACAGAGGAGUCCUGGUUCUUCUUUUAUCUGCUGUGAGUUUUCUCAUCAAAGGAGGAAACAGAGCAGAGGUAAUAACUGUCACUUCAUAUAAACACAUAUUUAUAUCUUCACAGAGUUCUGGUGUUGGUUCAGUCGGAGUCUCUGCAGACAAACACAGACGCUGACCUCUUCUUGGCCUCCUGUUUACCUGUGACUCACCUGCAGCAGACUGACUCAGUAACGAGCGCUCGCUCUGUUUCCAGGCCGACACGCUUCAUUUCACCGCCCCGGUCCGCUCCCCUCUCUCUUCACCUUUGUAAAUGUUAAAUCUCAUGUCUGAGAGUUUGACCUCGGGCCUGACGGCUUCACUCUGACAUUUAAACUGGAAAAUUACAGAAAAAAAAACUUCUUUAUUCACGUUUUAAAGCCGAACCAUCUUUAUUUGAGCUCCUCAGAAAACACUAACUUCUAUCGGUGACAUUUGAUGAAACAUUGAGAGAUUUUUGGAGUGAAAGAAUCAUUUUCUUGGCGGCGGCACAGCGCUGAUUUCCAGAGUUUUUUCCAGCCCAGCUCAGAACCAUCUGUGUCAUGUGGUAUAAUUAGCAGGGUAAGCACAUUUUCCACUCACUAAGUACGCUCCAUCGGCGGUAAAAAGCUCUCCACACUCAAUCAGAUGUAAUUUUAUUCAAGCUUUAGGCCGUGCUCGGUUACAGAGGAGGCGUCCUCUCGUACUCUUGAAGAACAUCAUCUCGAAGUUUGCAGAGACGCUGAGGUCAGAGGUCAACAUGAGCCCAAAUCUGCAGGCUGAACUUAUAAAUUAGUCAUGAGGAAGUUUGUUAUAUCAGGACUAACUUCAGCUCUAGUGUGAUUUCAUAUUUGGGAAUUAAAAAUCAUCUUAAAGUGGAUUUUUGUGGAGAUUGACGGGAUCUUUGUGCUGCUGCUAAAAAUACACUCCAGAUAAUCCAGCAGCUCCUGCUCAGAUAAACAACAGAAGACUGUAAUUCAGGGAGAUUAGGUCCUCGGCUCACAGUAUUAGAUAGAAUCAGGUCUAAUUGUCUCAGAUGUGGAGGAGGCAGCAGGAGGAGAAGAUUCAAGGUAGAGUUAGAAAACGUCAUCGUAGACACUGACGGGAGGGGACUAUUACCUGGAGUUAGUGUGUUUUUAUCCCUCAGUUUCCUACAAACUGUUUUUAUUUUUCUGAACUUCCACUUUGACAAUCACAUCUGAAGAAAGUCUGGACGCUGAGAGACAUGAAAUCUAAAAUUAAUAAUUAUGAGAUAAGAAGUUUAUCAUCUUUAUUGAUCCUCGAGGGGAAAGUCGAUCAAUUUUUUUCAGAUUUUAACGGUUUACAGAUUAUUUAUAAAAAACUAAAUUAGACUGAAAACAGUAAAAAAAAAAAAAAAAGACUGAUGUUAAAUUUUUAACCUGUAACGUAAAAAUCAGUAGAUUUGAUCGUCGGCAUUGAAAACAGACAGGACAGUAAACACAGAUCAAAUCAGGUUCAAACUGAACCAUGAGGAGACCGGAUAGAGACAAGGUCAAGAACCACCAGAGACUUUUCUGGACCUGAGCCCAUUAGUGGACUGAGAGGACGAGGAGAGCCGUCCUGAGGUCUGAUGGAUCAGAAUCUAAAACUCUUUUGGAAAGGACAACUGGACUUAGUUAAGUCCAGUUGUCCUUUCGACGUAGAACUGGAAAUCAUAGAUGCUGCAUCCUCGGUUUUAAACAAGAUCUUCAGGUUUAGGAGGAACAUCGGAGUUUUUCAGGGAAGACCUUCAGA
Xyrichtys novacula (pearly razorfish) is the source of this 4196-nucleotide non-coding RNA. The record is from the annotation of a GenBank genome assembly. NCBI's taxonomy places the organism in Eukaryota, Metazoa, Chordata, Actinopteri, Labriformes, Labridae.